RNAcentral lists this long non-coding RNA (236 nucleotides) under Homo sapiens (human). Its description in RNAcentral is "non-protein coding lnc-VPREB1-10:2". The record is from RNAcentral. Lineage: Eukaryota; Metazoa; Chordata; Mammalia; Primates; Hominidae.
CUCUGAGCAGUGGGCACAGUAGCUACAUCAUCGCAUGGCAUCAGCAGCAGCCAGGGAAGGCCCCUCGGUACUUGAUGAAGCUUGAAGGUAGUGGAAGCUACAACAAGGGGAGCGGAGUUCCUGAUCGCUUCUCAGGCUCCAGCUCUGGGGCUGACCGCUACCUCACCAUCUCCAACCUCCAGUUUGAGGAUGAGGCUGAUUAUUACUGUGAGACCUGGGACAGUAACACUCACACA